AGAGUUUGAUCAUGGCUCAGAUUGAACGCUGGCGGCAUGCCUUACACAUGCAAGUCGAACGGUAACAGGUCUUCGGAUGCUGACGAGUGGCGAACGGGUGAGUAAUACAUCGGAACGUGCCCGAUCGUGGGGGAUAACGAAGCGAAAGCUUUGCUAAUACCGCAUACGAUCUACGGAUGAAAGCAGGGGACCGCAAGGCCUUGCGCGAACGGAGCGGCCGAUGGCAGAUUAGGUAGUUGGUGGGAUAAAAGCUUACCAAGCCGACGAUCUGUAGCUGGUCUGAGAGGACGACCAGCCACACUGGGACUGAGACACGGCCCAGACUCCUACGGGAGGCAGCAGGUGGGGUAAUUUUGGACAAUGGGCGAAAGCCUGAUCCAGCCAUGCCGCGUGCAGGAUGAAGGCCUUCGGGUUGUAAACUGUCUUUGUACGGAAACGAAAAGACUCUGGUUAAUACCUGGGGUCCAUGACGGUACCGUAAGAAUAAGCACCGGCUAACUACGUG
Molecule: ribosomal RNA, 505 nt
Filed under: uncultured bacterium
Lineage: Bacteria
Description: bacterial SSU rRNA
Rfam family: Bacterial small subunit ribosomal RNA
Source: RNAcentral